UGAUGAGCUUGAAUGAAUUAUUUAGAUGUUUUAUUGAAUCAGUUAGACUCAGGAGGACAUUCAGAUAAUAAUUUCAUUGUAAUGCAAAAUUAUAUUAUUAAUCUGGUAAGUGUUGCUAUAAUUUGGGCAUGGAAGGAUUAAUUGUAAGGUUUUCUUGAUGAAAGGCUUUAAUUUGGAGAGAAUUCAUUUAAUAUUGAAGGUCUUUUCCCCUGCUCCGCUUUUUUACUUGAUAUGUUUUCGUUAUCUGAAAAUUUAAAUGAAAAAGGAAUUAAACACCUCACAUAUAUUUUAUUUUCCAUGAUAUUUUUGCAGGGAGCUGUCAAAGUAAUGGCAAA
This 335-nucleotide unclassified non-coding RNA is filed under the name Hevea brasiliensis (rubber tree). Lineage: Eukaryota; Viridiplantae; Streptophyta; Magnoliopsida; Malpighiales; Euphorbiaceae. The record is from RNAcentral.